RNAcentral lists this small RNA (10821 nucleotides) under Pan troglodytes (chimpanzee). Its description in RNAcentral is "retained intron". Lineage: Eukaryota; Metazoa; Chordata; Mammalia; Primates; Hominidae. The record is from RNAcentral.
GCCCGGGCGGCGGCGAUGCUGUGGCCGCGGCUGGCGGCGGCCGAGUGGGCGGCGCUGGCCUGGGAGCUGCUGGGCGCCUCGGUGCUGCUGAUCGCUGUGCGGUGGCUGGUGCGGCGGCUGGGCCCGCGGCCGGGAGGUCUGGGCCGCAGCGGGACCCCAGUUCCUCCGCCAAGCGCGGCCGCCGCCCCCGCCCCAGGUAAGGCCCAGGCGGUCGCUGGGUCCCCGCACCCUGGCCCCUUCCCCGCCCCGACGCCCUCCUCGGGCCUGGGGUCCGGGCCGCGCCCCUGGAGCCCCUGGAGCCGGCAGCAGUUGGGCGAGGCGGCCGGGGAAACCAGGGCCGGUCGGGAAAGGCCAUUCCGGCCGCGGAAAGGGCAGUUGCGGGGGACUUGGCUUCCCGGGGCGGGGGCGGAGGGGCCACGCCGGGUUCGGGGGUGAGAGCUUUCCCGGGCCCGGGAGCAGCCUCCGGGGAAGGCGGCGGGGGCCCGGCGAGGCGUUAGCGGAGACUCUUGCUGCGGUCUAUCGAGACCUGGGGAGGGAUGGCCCAAAGGAGGGCGGCGGGGGAGGAAGCCCCUGGGUCCCGGAUGUGUUUGGAACGUGAAGCCACUGCGGUUACUGGUCAUUGAACGUAAGGCAGAGACGGAAAAGGCAAAUGUAACUUAGGGGUUUGGGGCCAGAGGAAACGGGAGAAGGUGGCCAUUUAUUGCUUUGCGGUAGACUGUCGGGUCUGGGUGAUGUGGAGAUCAGAGGUGGGUUUUGGUCGUUUUAAGUUUGAGGUAACUGAUACAGUGAACUGUGUAUUUCACCUCCAUCCCCUUUUCCUGGCAUACAAGUCUUGAAAUCUCGGGAACCUCCAAAGUGAUGUCUUUUGUAGGCUGAGUGGACUGGUGGCCGGCAGCCCCUAGGGAGCUUCUGGAUGGGGCUGGUCGCAGGAAAGACCAAGGCAGGGUUAGAGGUUCUGGGGACUUUCAGCCCCACCCCCAACCUCUGGGAAGGAGAGAGGGGUGAAGGUUGAGUUGAUCACCAAUGGCUGAUGAAUCAUGCCUGUGAAAUGAAGUUUCUGUAAAAACCCAAAAGGGCUGGGUUCAGGGAGCUUCCAGAUAGUACGUGGGGGUUCCUGGAGGCGGUGCCCAGAGAGGCCCUGAAUUUACAAGCGCUUCCCCUCGGUUUUACCUCACGCAUCUCUUCACCUGUAUUCUUUGUAAUCCUUUAUACUGUGCUGGUAAGUGUAAGUAAAACAUGUCUGUGAGUUCGGGAGCCACUCUAGCAAAUUACCGCAACCUGAGGAGGUCACCGGGUUACGCCCCGUCGGUCCGAAGCGCAGGUCAAACAACCUGGGCACUGGAAGUGGGGGGCAGUCUUGGGGGGCUGAGCCGUUAACCUGUGGGGUCUGCUGGUAUCUCCAGGAAGACGCUGUCAGAAUAGAUGACUGAGUUAGGAUGACAGACGACACCCAGCCUGUGUCCACUGCAGAACUGAUGACCUGCGUGAUUUGUGGGGAGAAAAUCCCCACAUACCUGGUGUCUGAAGCAUGUUGCAAGACUAGUGGGAGAAACUGAGUUUGUUUUUACUCUAAAUUGUCAGACUGUUAGUCACUGCGGAGCGGUGCUUUCUGAUGAUUGAGUGGGGAUUCCUGUCCAUUUGUGUGGGUUUGUGUCUCGGCCCUACCACUUUUUUUUUUUUUUUUUUUUGAAAUGGAGUCUCGCCCUGUGGCCCAGGCUGGAGUGCAGUGGCGCGAUCUCGGCUCACUGCAAGCUCCGCCUCCCGGGUUCAAGCGAUUCUCCUGCCUCAGCCUCCCGAGUAGCUGGGAUUACAGGCGCCUGCCACCACGCCCGGCUAAUUUUUGUAUUUUUAAUAGAGACGGGGUUUCACCAUGUUGGCCAGGAUGGUCUCGAAUUCCUGACCUAAGGUGAUCCACCUGCCUCAGCUUCCCAAAAUGCUGGGAUUACAGGUGUGAGCCAUCGCACCGGGCCCUACCACUUAUUGCUGUGGGCUUAACCUGUUUUCAGCCUGCUCAUUUAGGAAUAGGGAUGAUAGUAAUACCUGGUUAGGCUUUUUUGGGAGUUGGGUAAGUGCAGCACUUGGUAUGUGUUAAGCACCUCUGAGUGCUGUUACUGUCACCACCGGCAUCAUCCAGGCAGAGCUGCGGACAAGGUGGCGGGCUGGUGUUUUGAGAAUGGCUGAAAUAAAAAAUACUGAUAUUUUUAUUUAAUAUAAAAAUAUAUUUUUAUAUAUGAUGUAUAAUAUAUGUAUAUCAUAUGGUAUAUAUAAUACGCGUAUAUCAUAUGGCAUAUAUAAUAUACAUAUGUUAUAUAUAUAGUGAGCAGAGAUUUAGAGAAACUGGGUCUCGUGCAUUGCAGGUGGGGAUGGUAAGUGGUGCAGCUACUCUGGGAAUCAGCCUGGCAGGUUUUUAGGAAGUUAAACCUGCCCUGCAUUCCUGAGCUUUUAUUAGACAAAUGAAAACUAUUUUCACACAAAAACCCUUAUUUAAUGUUCAUAGCAACUUUAUUUGUAAUUACCAGAAACUGAAAUAACUCAAAUGGUUAAACUUGCACAUUGAUACCCCGGGGUGCCACUCCGCAGCGAUCCUCUCUGCCACUUGGGUGCCCCGGGGUGCCACACUGCGCAAUCCACUCUGCCAUGUGGGUGCCCCGGGGUGCCACUCCGCAGUGAUCCACUCUGCCACGUGGGUGCCCCGGGGUGCCACUCCACAGCGAUCCACUCUGCCACGUGGGUGCCCUGGGGUGCCACUCUGCAGCGAUCCUCUCUGCCACGUGGGUGCCCCAGGGUGCCACACUGCGUGAUCCACUCUGCCACGUGGGUGCCCCGGGGUGCCACUCCGCAGCGAUCCACUCUGCCACGUGGGUGGAUCUCAAGGGCAUUAUGCUGAAUAGGAAAAGCCAAUCUCAAAAGUUGUGUACUUGGCCGGGUGCGGUGGCUCAUGCCUGUAAUCCCAGCACUUUGGGAGGCCGAGGCAGGUGGAUCACAAGGUCAGGAGUUCAAGAUCAGCCUGGCCAACAUGGUGAGGCAGUCUCCACUAAAAAUACAAAAAAAUAGCGGGGUGUGGUGGCAGGUACCUGUAAUCCCAGCUACUCGGGAGGCUGAGGCAGCAGAAUUGCUUGAACCCAGGAGGUGGAGGUUGCGGUGAGCAGAGAUCAUGCCACUGCACUCCAGCCUGGGCGACAGAGCAAGACUCCAUCUCAAAAAAAAAAAAAAUUGUUAAUGGAACAUUAUAACCCAGUGUUCAGGCCUAGCUGUUUCUCACAUCUUUACCCAUCGAUCUGUCAAAGACCUUGUGAUCAUACUGAUACUUCCAAUUUCAAUGCGACGUCCGCGGGUUUAUUCUUUUUUUUUUAGGUGGAGUCUCACUCUGUUGUCCAGGCUGGAGGCUCACUGCAACCUCUACCUGCCCAGUUCAAGCGAUUCUCCCACCUAGCCUGCUGAGUAGCUGGGAUGACAGGUGCAUGCCACCAUGCCUGGCUAAUUUUUGUAUUUUUAGUAGACACCUGGUUUCAUCAUGUUGGCCAGGCUGGUCUCAAACACCUGACCUCAAAUGAUCCACGCACCUUGGCCUCCCAAAGUGCUGGGAUUACCGGCAUGAGCUACCGUGUCCGGCUCCCUGGCUUUAUUCUAAUGCAAGAGUCAGUAAACUGUGGUCCAAACUGGCCCCCACCUAUUUUCCUUAGUAAAGUUUUAUUGGAAUACAACCAUACCCUUUUGUUUAUGUAUAUCUGUGGCUGUUCUUUUUUUUUUUUUUUUGGAGACGGGGUCUUGCUCUGUUGCCCAGGUUGGAGUGCAGUGGCACAAACAGGGCUCACUGCAUCCUCAAACUCUUAGGCUUAAUUUAUCCUCCUGCCUCAGCCCCCCAAGUAGUUGGAACCACAGGUGCACGUCACCACACUCAGCUAAUUUUUUUUUUUUUGAGACGGAGUCUCGCUCUGUCGCCCAGGCUGGAGUGCAGUGCCGCCAUCUCUGCUCACUGCAAGUUCUGCCCCCUGGGUUCACACCAUUCUCCUGCCUCAGCCUCCUGACUAGCUGGGACUACAGGCACCCGCCACCAUGGCCUGCUAAUUUUUUAGUAUUUUUAGUAGAGACAGGGUUUCACCGUGUUUGCCAGGAUAGUCUCAAUCUCCUGACCUCAUGAUCCACCUGCCUCGGCCUCCCAAAGUGCUGGGAUUACAGGCAUGAGUCACCGCGCCCAGCCAUCAGAUAAUUUUUAAAGUUUUUGUAGAAAGGGUGUCGCUGUGUUGCCCAGGCUGGUCUUGAACUCCUGGGCUCAAGUGAUCUUCCGGCCUCGGCCUCCCCCAGCACUGGGGUGACAGGUGUGAGCCGCCACACGCGGCCUGUGGCUGUUCUGAGCAAUCACGUGGCCUUUGGCUCAUAGAGUCUGAGAUGCUUACUCUCUCGCCCUUUACAGGAAUCGUUUGCUGAAACCCUGUUCUCACUCCCACUUUCCUUUCUGUCAUUGAGAGUCCUGGCUCUCAUCAGCCACCAUGUAUUCCAAUUAUUUGCUUUGCCCUAGAGUCCACAGAAAAUAGCUUUAGGUGUGCUAACCUAUACCAUUGUGAAAACAUCUACUGCCUAGAGCCUGUUCACACGGUAAUGGUGCACAGUCCUUUUUGUCUUUCUCCUUAGAGCACCUAGUCACUCACUGUUUUCCAAAGUUACGUAGGUUAGCUUCCCCUGUGUUACUCACUUGUAAUACAGUUAGGUGCAUUUCUUCUGGCUAGUAUUCCAUGUGGGUGUCUCCCCCAUCUUUUUGUUUAUUUACUUAUUUCUUUUUUUGUUGUUGUUGUUUUUUUGAGGUGGAGUCUCGCUCUGUUGCCCAGGCUGGAGUGUAGUGGCGCGAUCUUGGCUCACUGUGACCUCUGUCUCCUGGGUUCCAGCGAGCCUCCUGCCUCAGGUUCCCGAGUAGCUGGGAUUACAGGUGCCCGCCACUGCGCCUGGCUAAUUUUUGUAUUUUUUUUUUAGUAGAGAUGGGGUUUCACCAUCUUGGCCAGGCUGGUCUCGAACUGCUGACCUCGUGAUCCACCCACCUCGGUCUCCCAAAGUGCUGCGAUUACAGGCGUGAGCCACCGCGCCCGGCUUUACUUAUUUCUUGAGUAUGUAAAUCACGAACAUGUGUUUAAAAGGCAGAACCCUGUAGAAACUUAAAUUCAGAUGUAUUACUCCCCCACCGCCAUCGUUUUUUUUGUUGUUGUUGUUGAGACAGGGUCUGAUUCUGUCACCCAGGCUGGAGUGCAGGGUGCCAUCUCAGCUCGUGGUGGCAUCCACCUCCCAGACUCAAGUGAUCCUCCUGCCUCAGCCCCCUGAGUAGCUGGGGCUGUAGGUGUGCACUACUAUGCUCGGGUAAUUUUUUUUUUUUGGAACAAGGUCUUGCUCUUGUCCCCUAGGCUGGAGUGCAGUGGCGUGAUUUCGGCUCACUGCAACUCACUCUGGGUUCAAGCAAUUCUCUUGCCUCAGCCUCCCGAGUAGCUGGGGUUACAGGCAUGUACCACCACGCCCGGCUAAUUUUUGUAUUUUUAGUAGAGACGGGGUUUCACCAUGUUGGCCAGGCUGGUCUCGAACUCCCGACCUCAGGGGAUCUGCCUGCCUCCCAAAGAAUACAACGGGCUGGGCAUGGUGGCUUACGCCUGUAAUCCAAACACUUUGGGAGGCCAAGGCAGGUGGAUCACCUGAGGUCGGGAGUGCAAGACCAACCUGGCCAACAUGGUGAAACCCCGUCUCUCCUAAAAAUACAAAAAUUAGCUAGGUGUGAUUCCAGGCGCCUGUAAUCCCAGCUACUUGGGAGGCUGGGGCAGGAGAAUCGCCUGAAUCCAAGAGGCGGAGGUUGCAGUGAGCUGAGAUCGUGCCACUGCACUCCAGCCUGGGUGACAGAGCAAAACUCUGUCUCAAAAAAAAAAAAGGCUCACGCCUGUAAUCCCAGCACUUUGGGAGGCCGAGGCGGGCGGAUCACCUGCGGUCAGGAGUUCGAGACCAGCCCAGCCAGCAUGGAGAAACCCCGUCUCUACUGAAAAUACAAAAAUUAGCCGGGCGUGGUGGCAGACCCCUGUAGUCCCAGCUACUUGGGAGGCUGAGGCUGGAGAAUCACUUGAACUCAGGAGGUAGAGGUUGCAGUGAGCUGCGAUAGCACCACUGCACUCCAGCCUGCGCGACAGAGGGAGACAUCAUCUCGAAAAAAAAAAAAUUCUUUUUUUUUUUUGAGCUGGAGUUUCGUUCUUGUUGUCUAAGCUGGAGUGCAGGGGUGCGAUCUCGGCUAAUUGCAGCCUCCGCCUCCUGGGUUCAAGCGAUUCUCCAGCCUCGGCCUCCCAAGUAGCUGGGAUUACAGGCAUCCGCCACCACACCCGGCUAAUUUUUUGUAUUUUCAGUAGAGACGUGGUUUCACCAUGUUGGCCGGGCUGGUCUCGAACUCCUGACCUCAGAUGAUCCGCCCGCCUCAGCCUCCCAAAAUGCUGGGAUUACAGGCGUGAGCCACCGUGUCCAGCCAAGAAAAAAAGUUUUGAAUGAAAGAAACAGAAACUGAUGCCAUUAUAUAAUGAACCCUAGUACUCGUCACCCAGCUUCAGCAGGUGUUAGUAUUUUGUGACUCUUUGAUUUUUUUGUCUUGGGCCUAGGUGAAAUGACAAUGGAUGCUCUGUUGGCUCGAUUGAAACUUCUGAAUCCAGAUGACCUUAGAGAAGAAAUCGUCAAAGCUGGAUUGAAAUGUGGACCCAUUACAUCAACUACAAGGUUCAUUUUUGAGAAAAAAUUGGCUCAGGCUUUACUGGAGCAAGGAGGAAGGCUGUCUUCUUUCUACCACCAUGAGGCAGGUGUCACAACUCUCAGCCAAGACCCACAAAGGAUUUUGAAGCCAGCUGAAGGGAACCCAACUGAUCAGGCUGGUUUUUCUGAAGACAGAGAUUUUGGUUACAGUGUGGGCCUGAAUCCUCCAGAGGAGGAAGCUGUGACAUCCAAGACCUGCUCGGUGCCCCCUAGUGCCACCGACACCUACAGAGCUGGAGCGACUGCGUCUAAGGAGCCGCCCCUGUACUAUGGGGUGUGUCCAGUGUAUGAGGACGUCCCAGCGAGAAAUGAAAGGAUCUAUGUUUAUGAAAAUAAAAAGGAAGCAUUGCAAGCUGUCAAGAUGAUCAAAGGGUCCCGAUUUAAAGCUUUUUCUACCAGAGAAGACGCUGAGAAAUUUGCUAGAGGAAUUUGUGAUUAUUUCCCUUCUCCAAGCAAAACGUCCUUACCACUGUCUCCUGUGAAAACAGCUCCACUCUUUAGCAAUGACGGGUUGAAAGAUGGUUUGUGCUUGUCGGAAUCAGAAACAGUCAACAAAGAGCGAGCGAACAGUUACAAAAAUCCCCGCACGCAGGACCUCACCGCCAAGCUUCGGAAAGCUGUGGAGAAGGGAGAGGAGGACACCUUUUCUGACCUUAUCUGGAGCAACCCCCGGUAUCUGAUAGGCUCAGGAGACAACCCCACUAUCGUGCAGGAAGGGUGCAGGUACAACGUGAUGCAUGUUGCUGCCAAAGAGAACCAGGCUUCCAUCUGCCAGCUGACUCUGGACGUCCUGGAGAACCCUGACUUCAUGAGGCUGAUGUACCCUGAUGACGACGAGGCCAUGCUGCAGAAGCGUAUCCGUUACGUGGUGGACCUGUACCUCAACACCCCCGACAAGAUGGGCUACGACACACCGUUGCAUUUUGCUUGUAAGUUUGGAAAUGCAGAUGUAGUCAACGUGCUUUCGUCACACCAUUUGAUUGUAAAAAACUCAAGGAAUAAAUAUGAUAAAACACCUGAAGAUGUAAUUUGUGAAAGAAGCAAAAAUAAAUCUGUGGAACUGAAGGAGCGGAUCAGAGAGUAUUUAAAGGGCCACUACUACGUGCCCCUCCUGAGAGCGGAAGAGACUUCUUCUCCAGUCAUCGGGGAGCUGUGGUCCCCAGACCAGACGGCCGAGGCCUCUCACGUCAGCCACUAUGGAGGCAGCCCCAGAGACCCGGUGCUGACCCUGAGAGCCUUCGCAGGGCCCCUGAGUCCAGCCAAGGCAGAAGAUUUUCGCAAGCUCUGGAAAACUCCACCUCGAGAGAAAGCAGGCUUCCUUCACCACGUCAAGAAGUCGGACCCGGAAAGAGGCUUUGAGAGAGUGGGAAGGGAGCUAGCUCAUGAGCUGGGGUAUCCCUGGGUUGAAUACUGGGAAUUUCUGGGCUGUUUUGUUGAUCUGUCUUCCCAGGAAGGCCUGCAAAGACUAGAAGAAUAUCUCACACAGCAGGAAAUAGGCAAAAAGGCUCAACAAGAAACAGGAGAACGGGAAGCCUCCUGCCGAGAUAAAGCCACCACGUCUGGCAGCAAUUCCAUUUCCGUGAGGGCGUUUCUAGAUGAAGAUGACAUGAGCUUGGAAGAAAUAAAAAAUCGGCAAAAUGCAGCUCGAAAUAACAGCCCGCCCACAGUCGGUGCUUUUGGACAUACGAGGUGCAGCACCUUCCCCUUGGAGCAGGAGGCAGACCUCAUAGAAGCCGCCGAGCCGGGCGGUCCACACAGCAGCAGAAAUGGGCUCUGCCAUCGUCUGAGUCACAGCAGGACCCUGGCGGGCAAGAGACCAAAGGCCCCCCGUGGGGAGGAAGCCCGUCUGCCAUCUGUCUCUGAUUUGACUGUUGCGUUUGAUAAACUGAAUUUGCAAAAUGUAGGAAGUAGCGUUUCCAAGACACCAGAUGAAAAUACAAAAACUAAAGAUCAGAUCCUGACUUCAAGAAUCAAUGCAGUAGAAAGAGACUUGUUAGAGCCUUCUCCCGCAGACCAACUCGGGAAUGGCCACAGGAGGACAGAAAGUGAAAUGUCAGCCAGGAUCGCUAAAAUGUCCUUGAGUCCCAGCAGCCCCAGGCACGAGGAUCAGCUCAAGGUCACGAGGGAACCGGCCAGGCGGCUCUUCCUUUUUGGAGAGGAGCCGUCAAAACUCGAUCAGGAUGUUUUGGCCGCUCUUGAAUGUGCAGACGUUGACCCCCAUCAGUUCCCGGCCGUGCACAGAUGGAAGAGUGCUGUCCUGUGCUACUCACCCUCGGACAGACAGAGUUGGCCCAGUCCCGCGGUGAAAGGAAAGUUCAAGUCUCAGCUGCCAGAUCUCAGUGGCCCUCACAGCUACAGUCCAGGGAGAAACAGCGUGGCUGGAAGCAACCCCGCAAAGCCGGGCCUGGGCAGUCCUGGGCGCUACAGCCCCGUGCACAGGAGCCAGCUCCGCAGGAUGGCGCGCCUGGCUGAGCUUGCCGCCCUGUAGGCUUGGCGCUGGGCUCUCGGUUUGUUCUUCAUUUUUAAAGAAGGAAGCGUCAUAUGUUUAUUGCUAAACUGUCAAAAAGGAAUAUAUUCUGAUUAAAUUAUUACUCCUCACUUUGAGGGUGUGAGAAUUUUAGAAGAUUUAAAUGUUCUAUAUAACACUUAGAUUUCUGAUAUUUUGGAAGAAGUUAGAAGUUAAUGAAAGCAAACUCAGAUACCAAUUUUCUGGAAAAUAUCCAUGUGGUAAUGGUAGACUUUUUAGGUGGCAAUUUCUAGGUCUGAAAUAUAGCAGAGGAAAGGGCGCUGAGGCAGUUGCAGGCAGGCAGCCCUGUACUCACCCUGUACUCACCUCAUCCGACAGACGCUGUGGACGAGGAGGGGCUUGGCGGAGGCGUGAGCACCGAUGUCCCUGUGAUAACCUGCACUCACCAAGAUGAACUAUUUGCUGCCCUGUCUUUUCCUGGGUGGGGGGGUGGCAUCUGAUGGUGGCAGAGUGCCUGUUGGUUCGCCCGUGGGUCUCAUGGUUCAGACGGAGGGAGGUGGAUGGCAGGGAUCAGGGAGCCAGGAGCGCGCCUCAGACUUGCAGCAACCAUUGUGAUUUGGGUUGUUCGGAAUAUUUAAAUUACUGAUCAGAAGAUGAAAGUAGCUUUUCUCUUGGGAAGUCUUGCAGCCCGUGGGAGUGAUACCAGGAGAAACACAGAGCUCAGCAGCGGCGCCAAGGUGUUCCCUGUUUCCUCAGCACGUGAGCCUUCACUGCCUGCUUCAUUCAGGAGCCAGUGCAGCAGUAAUACAGUCUAUACAUUGUUCUGUUUUCAAAUUUAUCCUGAGGCUUUGUUGAGCAUAAAUGAUUAUACGAUAAAGGUAUCCUUUAUUUUGGAACUCAUUUCAGUUGGGAUCUCCUGUAUGCAGAGUGUUGCAUUUAGAGGUUUGAGUCCCAUCUUGGUUUCUUGCCGUGCUGACUGUAGCCUUCACCUUAGCUUGAAUGAAGGUCUGUGGUUGGAAUGUGUGAGGAGCCACUGAGGUGUUCAGGAGGUGCUGCCUGGAGGUCGGUUUCUUCCUGGGUGUUACGGGCAACUGCUCACACAGUUGUUUCUCUGUGAACAUUUCCAGUGUUUAAUCCAAAAUGAAAACCCACCAAUGCUUUUGCUAACUUCAGUGCCUUUUAUAAAUCAUUUUUAAAUUUCCUGAACUUGCUUUUUGAGGAUAUACAGGGAUAUUAAGUAGACGCAGGAUUGUUUUUGUUUGUAAAAAUUCUGAAUUGAAACUUUGUUUUAAAAAAAGGCUUCUUUCUUUCAUAUGACAAGAGAUAGGUCAGGAAUAUUGGAAUCAAGAUUUAAAUGUUAAAAUUCGAUUUUGUUACACAGGGUGUGUUCAUUUGUUUUGUAGCAGACAAGAUCUAGAUCCCAGACAGAAACAACACAUGCUAUUCUAAAAAGCCGCAUUUUAAAAGGCACCUUGGUUCUCAAAAGAAAUCCGAAUAUGGAUAUUCGUAGUGAUGAUCUGUUUUCUCUAAAAUCUUACCAUAUUGUCUGUAUAUGGUUGUAAAUUCAAAUGGAAAGUAAAACGUUUUGGCCCUGA